UCUCAGCAGCAGUCUUGCACUGAAAAGCAUAAGAUGUACACUUUCUAGGAAGUUCUUCAUUUACUUCUGAAGGAAGUGUCUUUCUUUCAUACAUGCACAACUGAGUUGUUUUCUACUGGGAGGACAAACAGGGAGCAUUUGAGGGCGAGAUCGAGAAACAGCUGAGGUGAGUAGGGAGGGAAAAUGGCCUAGCAGCAGUAGAGGGUACUGGGACAGUGGAUGUUCAGUAUGGGCUGGUGCCCUCCACGGGGGAGCUGAGGAAGGACACUUCUCUACCCUACAUUCUGCACCUGGUGCUGGGCUCUGGCAGGCAGCCAUUCUCCCGCUUCACCCUGUGUUAUCCAUCCACUGCUCAACAGCACCAAAGCCUCCCUCGGUCAUCCCUCUCUGUCAGUCUCAGAGUUGUCAGCAGCGCUAUCACUCACAGUGGCCCACUGAAAGAUUUAAUAAUUGAGAAAUGUUAUGGCAUCAUCAAGGAGAACGGGUGGAAGAAGAUUGAGACGGCCUUUCAAGUACUAGAUGAUAAAACUUGACACAAAGAAGAAAACUCUUAGUACAGUGAGAAUGAUUGUUGAUGUUUCAAAUGCGUUUCAACUGUCUAGUCUCAACAGUCAAACGUUUUGAAGCAGCCUAUGUACCUUUUACUCACAGUUUCCUUUAGCGCAGAAUAGCAGCGUUAGUCCAUUCUGCCCCAGAUAAAAACUCUCUCUGCUAAAGUUAGAAAAGUGAUUACACAUUUAUAAAAUACAGCAUUAAGGCCUGAUUAAGGAGCCGUUAUCACCUGGUUAUAA
This is a long non-coding RNA of Etheostoma spectabile (orangethroat darter), 791 nucleotides long. RefSeq lists it as uncharacterized. The record is from RefSeq and is a predicted model, not a curated record. The transcript is spliced from 3 exons. Lineage: Eukaryota; Metazoa; Chordata; Actinopteri; Perciformes; Percidae.